UUGGCGGACGGGUGAGAAAUGCAUCGGAACGUGCCCAUGUCGUGGGGGAUAACGUAGCGAAAGCUACGCUAAUACCGCAUACGCCCUGAGGGGGAAAGCGGGGGAUUCCUCGGAACCUCGUGCGAUCGGAGCGGCCGAUGUCGGAUUAGCUAGUUGGUGGGGUAAAGGCCCACCAAGGCGACGAUCCGUAGCGGGUCUGAGAGGAUGAUCCGCCACACUGGGACUGAGACACGGCCCAGACUCCUACGGGAGGCAGCAGUGGGGAAUUUUGGACAAUGGGGGCAACCCUGAUCCAGCCAUGCCGCGUGAGUGAAGAAGGCCUUCGGGUUGUAAAGCUCUUUCGGCCGGGAAGAAAUCGUGGUCUCUAACAUAGGCCAUGGAUGACGGUACCGGACUAAGAAGCACCGGCUAACUACGUGCCAGCAGCCGCGGUAAU
RNAcentral lists this ribosomal RNA (436 nucleotides) under uncultured Thauera sp. Its description in RNAcentral is "bacterial SSU rRNA". It matches the Rfam family "Bacterial small subunit ribosomal RNA", at positions 95 to 524 of the family's 1533-position model. Lineage: Bacteria; Pseudomonadati; Pseudomonadota; Betaproteobacteria; Rhodocyclales; Zoogloeaceae. The record is from RNAcentral.